RNAcentral lists this transfer RNA (76 nucleotides) under Candidatus Solibacter sp. Its description in RNAcentral is "tRNA-Thr". It matches the Rfam family "tRNA". Rfam says of the family: Transfer RNA (tRNA) molecules are approximately 80 nucleotides in length. Their secondary structure includes four short double-helical elements and three loops (D, anti-codon, and T loops). Further hydrogen bonds mediate the characteristic L-shaped molecular structure. tRNAs have two regions of fundamental functional importance: the anti-codon, which is responsible for specific mRNA codon recognition, and the 3' end, to which the tRNAs corresponding amino acid is attached (by aminoacyl-tRNA synthetases). tRNAs cope with the degeneracy of the genetic code in two manners: having more than one tRNA (with a specific anti-codon) for a particular amino acid; and 'wobble' base-pairing, i.e. permitting non-standard base-pairing at the 3rd anti-codon position. The record is from RNAcentral. Lineage: Bacteria; Pseudomonadati; Acidobacteriota; Terriglobia; Bryobacterales; Solibacteraceae.
GCUGGCGUAGCUCAGUCGGUAGAGCAUCUGAUUUGUAAUCAGAGGGUCGUGGGUUCAAAUCCCUCCGCCAGCUCCA